Molecule: long non-coding RNA, 2182 nt
Organism: Pangasianodon hypophthalmus (striped catfish)
Lineage: Eukaryota; Metazoa; Chordata; Actinopteri; Siluriformes; Pangasiidae
Exons: 5
Source: RefSeq, a predicted model, not a curated record
CAAAAAUGCGGUUCAUUUUGACACUUCUUUUAAAAAAAAAUUGUAAAACAGCAGUCAAAUCGUGCUUCCUAACAACAGCAACACUAGCCACCUCAAAAUCCCGGAAAUAGACCCACACUGACGUCAGACCUCAAUCACAUCUGUUUAGCCUCAGUCAUGUAAAUGCUGGAACACUUGAUCACCACAGUUUUCUCAGUUUUCUAUAUCUUUCGAUGAGCCUGUGCCCAUGAUGGCCUCAGAUUCCUGUUCUUGGCUGACAUGAGUGGAACCCAGUGUGGUCUUCUGCUCUUGUACCUCAAGGGUCACAGGGAGCCUGGAGCCUAACCCAGGGGACUUUUGGCAAAAGGCAGGGGACAAACUGAACAGGGUGCCAACCCACCAGAGGGCACAAUUGCACACACAAUCACAAACUACAGACAAUUUGGAAAUGCCAAUCAGCAUACGAUGCAUGUUUUUGGACUGGGGGAGGAAACUGGAGUACCUGGAGGAAGCCCCAAAGGCACGGGCAGAACAUGCAAACUCAGCACACACAGGGCAGAGGGUCAGGGUGGAGCUGGAGCCUAUCCUGGGAACACUGGGCAUGAGGUGGGAUAGUUCCCAGUCCAUCACAGGGCACCAUGCAUACACAUUCACAUCUCAGGGGCAAUUUAGCAUAGCCAAUCUAUCUGCCCGCAUGUUUUUGGGAGGUGGGAGGACACUGGAGAACCUGGAGAAAACCCACUCAGGCACAAGGAGAACAUGCUAAACUCUGCACACACACAUACAGUAGCCUGAGCACAGGAUCAAACCUGGCCCUGGAGCUGUGAGGCAGCAACACCCUUGUCUAAGAAUUAUUCAGUGUAAACGUAUGUAUUAUUGAGAUAUUUUAACCCGCAUCAACCGCAUCAACUCACAGACAUCAACCUCUAGAUGGAGACAUGACUCCCUUAAUAAAACAGUAGAUUUGUCCCAGGUUUUGUUCUGUGGGUUUAGAAUUGAAACAAUUGGUCAUAGCGUGAUAACUUGUUUUUCCAUGCAUGCACAAUACACAAUGUUUUGUUGUCAGUGAACAUAGUUUCAGUGCUAAAUUACAUGAUAAAUAAAAGCAAAAAACAUACUCCAGAGAAUCAGAAGAAGAAGUUUCAUGAUGGAUUUCUGUAGAAAAUCAUGGCUACAACACAUACACUAUGUAGGCAAAUGUAUGUGGACAACUGACCAUUAUACCAAUAUGUUUUGGCUGAAAGUCCCAUUCUAGAUUUAAUCCCCACUUUGCUGUCAUAAUAACCUCCACUAACCUCCACUUUUCUGGGAAGGCUCUCCAAUAGAUGUUGGAGCAUGGCUGUGAGGAUUUGCUCAUUCAGCCAUAAGAGCAUUAGCGAGGUCAGGCACUGAUGUUGGUGAGGAGGUCUGGGGUGCAGUCGGCGUUCCAGCUCAUCUCAAAGGUGUUCAGUGGGGUUGAGGUCAGGUCUCUGUGCAGGCCACUCGAGUUCUUCCACACCAACCUAGGCAUGCCAUGUCUUCAUGGACCUCGCUUUGUGCACAGGAGCAUUGUCAUGCUGGAACAUAUUUGGGCCCCUUAGUUCCAGUGAAAGGAAAUUUGUAAUGCUACUGUAUACAAAGACAUUCUAGACAAUUGUAUGCCUCCAACAUUGUGGCAACAGUCUGGGGAAGAACCACAUAUGGGUGUGGUGGUCAGGUAUCUACAUACUUUUGGCCAUAUAGUGUAGGUCUCUCAGAGGCCUAGACAGAGGAGUUUCAGCUGCUGCAAUAAUUUGCAGGUUUAGAAGUCUUCUCAUAGUUAAUGUAGCCAUAUAAAACUGUAAAACAACAGUGUGGUCAAAGUGAAAUUACAUUGAAGUCUACAAAUCUAAGUUGAGAAAAGACAGAUGACGGUGAAGGAUGGCAAGAAGAAUUGCGAGAUCUCUAACAGAACGAUAGAUCAGUGAUGAGUCAUGACAGAGUUCAACACUCUAUGCUAUCAGUCCUGCUGUAUGUAAUGGAGCUGCCAUACACAACACAGAACCAAACCAGAGGACAUUUAUCAAAUAACAGAGCAGAAAUGUCAUCACUACUAUCUGGUGGCCUACAAAGAUGUGCUUAAUUUUUUUCUUAAAGAUCAGUCUCAAUAGGUAUGUUCAGUAUAUAGAUUAAAUUAUGUUUCUUAAUGUUUUGUCACUAUACUAUGAUCUUAUGUGGAAUAAAC